AGGGCACCACCAGGAGUGGAGCCUGCGGCUUAAUUUGACUCAACACGGGAAAUCUCACCAGGCCCGGACACCGGAAGGAUUGACAGAUUGAGAGCUCUUUCUUGAUUCGGUGGGUGGUGGUGCAUGGCCGUUCUUAGUUGGUGGAGCGAUUUGUCUGGUUAAUUCCGAUAACGAACGAGACUCUGGCCUACUAACUAGACGUUGGAUCCCUUUGUGGGUCCACCGCAGCUUCUUAGAGGGACGGGCGGCGUUUAGCCGCACGAGAUUGAGCAAUAACAGGUCUGUGAUGCCCUUAGAUGUUCUGGGCUGCACGCGCGCUACACUGAAGGAAUCAGCGUGUGUUCCCUAUCCGAAAGGAUUGGGAAACCCGUUGAACCUCCUUCGUGAUGGGGAUUGGGGAUUGCAAUUAUUCCCCAUGAACGAGGAAUUCCCAGUAGGCGCGAGUCAUAAGCUUGCGUCGAUUACGUCCCUGCCCUUUGUACACACCGCCCGUCGCUACUACCGAUCGAGUGAUUUAGU
Molecule: ribosomal RNA, 519 nt
Filed under: uncultured eukaryote
Lineage: Eukaryota
Description: SSU rRNA
Rfam family: Eukaryotic small subunit ribosomal RNA
Source: RNAcentral